RNAcentral lists this ribosomal RNA (643 nucleotides) under alpha proteobacterium SOGA11. RNAcentral describes it as "bacterial SSU rRNA". It matches the Rfam family "Bacterial small subunit ribosomal RNA", at positions 33 to 723 of the family's 1533-position model. Lineage: Bacteria; Pseudomonadati; Pseudomonadota; Alphaproteobacteria. The record is from RNAcentral.
ACGCUGGCGGCAGGCCUAACACAUGCAAGUCGAGCGCACCUUUCGGGGUGAGCGGCGGACGGGUUAGUAACGCGUGGGAAUAUACCCUUUGGUACGGAAUAGCCUCUGGAAACGGAGAGUAAUACCGUAUGAGCCCUUCGGGGGAAAGAUUUAUCGCCAAAGGAUUAGCCCGCGUUAGAUUAGGUAGUUGGUGGGGUAAUGGCCUACCAAGCCUACGAUCUAUAGCUGGUUUUAGAGGAUGAUCAGCAACACUGGGACUGAGACACGGCCCAGACUCCUACGGGAGGCAGCAGUGGGGAAUCUUGGACAAUGGGCGCAAGCCUGAUCCAGCCAUGCCGCGUGAGUGAUGAAGGCCUUAGGGUCGUAAAGCUCUUUCGCCUGUGAAGAUAAUGACGGUAGCAGGUAAAGAAACCCCGGCUAACUCCGUGCCAGCAGCCGCGGUAAUACGGAGGGGGUUAGCGUUGUUCGGAAUUACUGGGCGUAAAGCGCACGUAGGCGGACUGGAAAGUAUGGGGUGAAAUCCCAGGGCUCAACCCUGGAACUGCCUCAUAAACUAUCAGUCUAGAGUUCGAGAGAGGUGAGUGGAAUUCCGAGUGUAGAGUGAAAUUCGUAGAUAUUCGGAGGAACACCAGUGGCGAAGGCG